Xiphias gladius (swordfish) is the source of this 221-nucleotide small nucleolar RNA. RefSeq annotates it as small nucleolar RNA SNORA73 family. Lineage: Eukaryota; Metazoa; Chordata; Actinopteri; Istiophoriformes; Xiphiidae. The record is from RefSeq and is a predicted model, not a curated record. The transcript has a single exon.
CCGACGUGGACACCCAGCGAGUUGCUCUCCUGGCUCUGUCCUGGUGGCGUAUGGGAGCGUAGCUCUGAGCCGAGACGUACAGUCCCGUUCCACAACGUCGGAGAGAAAGCCCCCGUCCCCGGCUGACGGCCGGCGAGGACGGGGCGUCCUGCAUAUUCCUACAACUUCCCAGAGUCCUUUUGGGGCCGUUACUGGGGAGCUAAACCAUGCAGUGCACAAAU